RNAcentral lists this long non-coding RNA (803 nucleotides) under Marmota monax (woodchuck). The record is from RNAcentral. Lineage: Eukaryota; Metazoa; Chordata; Mammalia; Rodentia; Sciuridae.
UAGUCCAUCAAAAUGGCGAUAUUACCAAAAGUUCNUUCUUUUGCUGUUGUUUUAUAUUAUAUUUUUCAAUAAAAAUAAUUCACUGAGACUCAAUUCUGUGUACAUUGACAGGCAUUGUCUCCAACGUGUGUAGAUAAAUAGGAAACAGAUGGGUGUUUAUAAUAUGCUAUAAUUUCUUGUGUAAGAAAUAUAUGUAGGGUCAUAACUGUGUGCAUGGAACAUCUUUGGAAGAAUGCUAGCAAGAGUGGUUGCCCCAGGGUGUCUGGAGACAGGUGGGAAGAGAACUUGCCUUUUACUCCAUGUCUUUCUUUGCCUUUUGAAUUUGGUAUCAUUUUCUCAAGUAUUUUAUUCAAUAAAAUUCAUCAUUGGAAGUUAAUUAGUUAAUAAAGAAGACAUCAUGUUAAAUGAAACUAGUCACAAAGUGACAAAUACUGAUUCUGUUUAUUUGAGGGACUCAGUGAUCAAAUUAAUGGAGAUGCAAAGUAAGAUUGUGGUUACUAGGGAUUGGAAUGAAGGAGGAAAUGGGUUAUCAUUUAAUUGGUACAGAGCUUCCAUUUAGAAGGAUGAAAAAGUACUGCAGGUGGAUAGCGGUGAUGGCUGUAUAACAUUGUGAAUGUACUUAAUGCCCUGGACUGUAUGCUUAAUUAAAAUAAUAAACUUUAUGCUGUGUGUAUUUUGCCAAAAUAAAAAUCAAUUAUUAGGGCUGGGGUUGUAGCUUAGAGGUAGAUUGCUCGCCUACCAUGUAUGAGGCACUGGGUUCGAUCCUUAGCACCACAUAAAAAUAAAAUAAAGAUAUUGUGUCC